Molecule: ribosomal RNA, 954 nt
Filed under: Triticum aestivum (bread wheat)
Lineage: Eukaryota; Viridiplantae; Streptophyta; Magnoliopsida; Poales; Poaceae
Description: partial small subunit ribosomal RNA
Source: RNAcentral
AUGGACGUCAAGUCGGCGUUUCUCAACGGCGACCUUAACGAGGAGGUGUACGUCUCCCAGCCAUCAGGGUUUAGUGCCAAGAACCACAAGGAGGGCGUGUACAGGCUACACAAGGCCAUGUACGGUCUCCGGCAAGCCCCAAGGGCGUGGAACACCAAGCUUGAUGCAAGCCUUGCAUCCCUUGGGUUCUCACGCAGCGCUUCUGAGCACGCCGUGUACUCGUGUGGCACCGCGAACACGCUGCUCAUCAUCGGCAUCUAUGUCGACGACCUGGUCAUCGCCGGGGCAGAGCCCGAAGAGGUUCGACGCUUCAAGGGAGAGAUGCAUCGUCUCUUCAGCAUGAGCGACCUUGGGCUGCUCUGGUACUACCUCGGGCUAGAGGUGAACCAGGAGGGUGGUCGCAUCAUGAUCAUGCAGACGGCCUACGCCACCAAGAUGCUUGAGCGAGCAGGCAUGAAGGACUGCCAUGCCGUGCACGCUCCAAUGGAGGCACGAUUGAAGCUCAACAAGGAUACCUCCAAGAAGGUGAUGGAUGCUACACUCUACCACAGCAUCAUCGGGAGCCUCAGGUACCUCGUGCACACCCGAACGGACAUCACGUUCGUUGUCAGAUACCUGAGUAGGUUCAUGGAAGCUUCGGCAAGCGAUCACCUCGCUGCCGUCAAGCACCUGCUCCGGUACAUCGCCGGAAUGCUCACGCAUGGAUGCGUGUAUCAUCGUGGUGACAGCGAGAGCUUGGUCGGGUACAGCGACUCCGACCACGCUAGUGACAUGGACUCCCGAAAGAGCACCUCGGGCAUUCUAUUCCUUCUCGGGAAUAGUCCCGUCAGCUGGCAAUCGGUGAGGCAGAAGGUUGUCGCCGUAUCUUCGUGCGAGGCGGAGUACAUCGCGGCAGCUACAGCGGCCUGUCAAGGCAUUUGGCUUGCUCGCCUUCUCGGCGAGAUGCUGAAUUAG